Molecule: ribosomal RNA, 465 nt
Filed under: uncultured bacterium
Lineage: Bacteria
Description: partial 16S ribosomal RNA
Rfam family: Bacterial small subunit ribosomal RNA
Source: RNAcentral
GACGAACGCCGGCGGCGUGCUUAACACAUGCAAGUCGAACGGAAAGGCCCCAGCUUGCUGGGGUACUCGAGUGGCGAACGGGUGAGUAACACGUGGGUGAUCUGCCCUGCACUCUGGGAUAAGCCUGGGAAACUGGGUCUAAUACCGGAUAGGACCGUGCUUUAGUGUGUGCGGUGGAAAGUUUUUCGGUGCAGGAUGAGCCCGCGGCCUAUCAGCUUGUUGGUGGGGUAAUGGCCUACCAAGGCGGCGACGGGUAGCCGGCCUGAGAGGGUGUACGGCCACAGUGGGACUGAGACACGGCACAGACUCCUACGGGAGGCAGCAGUGGGGAGUAUUGCACAAUGGGCGCAAGCCUAAUGCAGCGACGCCGCGUGGGGGAUGACGGCCUUCGGGUUGUAAACCCCUUUCGGCAGGGACGAAGCUUUUGUGACGGUACCUGCAUAAGAAGCACCGGCUAACUACGUG